GUGAUUCCUUACAACAAGUGUAUCUCAUAUAUGAUACAUAGCAAUCACAUUGUAAAAAUGCAACCAUCAAUGAAGAAUACACACAAAUUUUUGCAACAAUUCUUGUAAAUACUAUACUAUUCUAUUUUGUUCUAAAUAUAGUGUAGUCCUGCUCAUCUUCCUCCCCCUCUCCCUCUCCCUCCCCCUCCUCCUCCUAUCCAUCCUCCUCCUCUUCCUCCCCCUCCCCUACCUUUCCUUCUCCUCCUCCUUCUUCUUUAUCGCAGUGAGCCAUCACUAUCACUCUUUCUUUAACUUAUAAACGGUUUACAUUGUGAUGUUUCUAUGUAUCAAGUUCUCUAUCCUUUGAAACUGAUAAAAUCAUUUGUGUGACUAUACUGUAUGAUGUGUAGAAUAGCAUGACAAAUUUAGUUUUGGCAUUUCAACAUCACGCGUACGCGGCAGGAAGGAGAGUUUGGUCAUGUUUGUGCGUAAAUUGUCUC
Molecule: long non-coding RNA, 479 nt
Filed under: Brassica napus (rape)
Lineage: Eukaryota; Viridiplantae; Streptophyta; Magnoliopsida; Brassicales; Brassicaceae
Description: long non-coding RNA (BNAP_LNC010213)
Source: RNAcentral